This 253-nucleotide ribosomal RNA is filed under the name uncultured bacterium. Its description in RNAcentral is "partial 16S ribosomal RNA". It matches the Rfam family "Bacterial small subunit ribosomal RNA", at positions 524 to 776 of the family's 1533-position model. The record is from RNAcentral.
UACGUAGGGUGCGAGCGUUAAUCGGAAUUACUGGGCGUAAAGCGUGCGCAGGCGGUUGUGCAAGACAGGUGUGAAAUCCCCGGGCUUAACCUGGGAACUGCACUUGUGACUGCACAGCUGGAGUGCGGCAGAGGGGGAUGGAAUUCCGCGUGUAGCAGUGAAAUGCGUAGAUAUGCGGAGGAACACCGAUGGCGAAGGCAGCCUCCUGGGCCAACACUGACGCUCAUGCACGAAAGCGUGGGGAGCAAACAGG